This 677-nucleotide long non-coding RNA is filed under the name Olea europaea (common olive). RNAcentral's name for it is "long non-coding RNA (OEUR_LNC002037)". Lineage: Eukaryota; Viridiplantae; Streptophyta; Magnoliopsida; Lamiales; Oleaceae. The record is from RNAcentral.
GUAAAAUGGCGUGUUUGGAGUUUAUAAGGGUUUGCGAAGCGACGCACCUUUUCAAAUUAUAGAAGGAAACAAUGAUUGAAAUUCUUUGGGAAUCGUAAACGUUGCUGAAGACGUGAAGUGAAUAUGGCAAAAUUCAAUAAUUAUUAUUAAUUCUGCCAUAUUGGGGGGUAAUUGUUGACACAUAAAAAUUCAGCCCAAAUCGAACAGCCCAGAGAGUAAAGCCCAAUUGGAAGAUCUCCAAAUCAGAUAGCCUAAAGAACGAAAUCCAAUUGAACGAAUCAAGGUGAAUGCCCAAAUAAGGGGUCCAAUAGUGCGGUAACGACAUCGUCCAAGUUUGCAAGUCGCUCAGAGUCUGAACGAAUAGAGUGACAUACGGUCGUCCAGAGUCUCGCCCAAAUCUUCAAGUCGCCCAAGGUAUCAACAAACACAACGCAUUAUGAUGCAGUUAUUGAGGCAGUUGCUAAAGUAACUUUUAUCACGUUCCACGACUCAAGGGGUUCAAUCGAAAGCGGUUGAACGAUGCAAGAUAAUGGCAGCAGUUAAAAGGACAGUUUCAUGACAAAUGGCCACUACAAAGAAAGUGGAUAGUUAUAGGGCGAUCAAGCAGUUUUUUAGAGCAGUUAAUCACAAAGGGAUCGCCUAUGAAGUAUAAAAGGGAGAAAGAACUUAGAAGCAAA